GUGGGAUUUGCUUUUUUUUUUGGUCUAUAAUAAACUUUUUUUAUUCUUAAUUCUUCAAUCAAUUGCUUCUUUAAGUUUCUGUUUUCUAUUUUCUACAACUGCUUUACAGAUCGUUGUUGCUAUGGGAUUGUUUGAGACUUUCUGAAAUCAUUAGUAUUGGUCAUAGACUCAGAAUCCUUUCUCCACCGAAGACCCCUUUGGACAGUUCGGUUUUUGGAGGUUGGUUCCAGUUAUCGGUUAAACUUAACCGAACAAAGUAGAAUACUUGCAGCUGUUAAUCGUCAAAAUUUGGCAAAACUCGUUUUAUGUACUCGGGUGGUGAAGUAGAGGACCAUACCUACUGACUUACCUCCCAAGAACGACCAUAAUAAGUUUGUACUUUUUUUUCCCAACCAUAUGUUAUGGAUCGGAACCCUUUUUGCUAAGUGCUAAGAGUUGAAAUAAAAGAAUAAUUGUACCAAACACUAUUAGCACUCAUCAAAUAUACAAGCUAUGAGUUAAGACUUA
Molecule: non-coding RNA, 507 nt
Organism: Camelina sativa (false flax)
Lineage: Eukaryota; Viridiplantae; Streptophyta; Magnoliopsida; Brassicales; Brassicaceae
Source: RefSeq, a predicted model, not a curated record